This 120-nucleotide ribosomal RNA is filed under the name Helianthus annuus (common sunflower). The record is from RNAcentral. Lineage: Eukaryota; Viridiplantae; Streptophyta; Magnoliopsida; Asterales; Asteraceae.
GGUUGCGAUCAUACCAGCACUAAUGCACCGGAUCCCAUCAGAACUCCGCAGUUAAGCGUGCUUGGGCGAGAGUAGUACUAGGAUGGGUGACCCCCUGGGAAGUCCUCGUGUUGCAACCCA